GGACAGUGUACUGCUUUGAUAGAGCACCUGCUGGACAACCUGAUCCACCUGCUGCCAAACAUGUACCCUCAUGCAUCCACCAGUAACUCAGCAGUGAGUUUAUACCACGUUAUGAGAUUAAAGAUGCCUAAAAUUGGAAGACUUGGGCGACUAAGAAAAAGAAUGAGAGGUUUUUGGAGAAAUCUUUGCUCAUGCACUUGCAGCAAUGACAUGGAGAGUGAAGAGGCCACUUCAGGAAUAGAGACCCAGAAGUAGGAGAGUAGAAGGUCACCAGAAUGAGUGAGACACCAGGGCUAGUCGGGGUCAUGGCAAAACACCGGAGCAGGUGAAGGUGACCAAAAGACGCCAGGACCAGUGAGUGUCACCAA
This is a long non-coding RNA of Puntigrus tetrazona (Sumatra barb), 368 nucleotides long. RefSeq lists it as uncharacterized. NCBI's taxonomy places the organism in Eukaryota, Metazoa, Chordata, Actinopteri, Cypriniformes, Cyprinidae. The record is from RefSeq and is a predicted model, not a curated record. The transcript is spliced from 3 exons.